GAACCCUUCAUUGUCCAUCCUCUUAAGAAACAAUGGAUAUGGUCCUAUGUUCUCUGGAACAUCCGCUUCAUACUAGACUUAUUGCUGAAACUCAUGAUGGCUCACUUUUGUCUUAAUGACUGUCAGUCAAAUUAACCUCACAUGGAAAUGACACACCUACAACCCACAGAACUGUUCUCGGCUGCUACUUAACUGAGUCAUUUCCUCUCCCCAAAGGCACUCGGCCCUCCAUCCGAGAUCCUAACUUACAGCCUUCUGUUUCUUACAUGCAGGCUCAAUUGAAGUCAGUGAGAAUGUUACUGGUGCAGGUUCUUAUUGUGACUUCAAUUUGGUCAUAUGGAGCUGCACAAGUACAAUUGACACAAGUUCAGUUAUCCAUCACGAGGAAAACAAUGAAAACAGUAAGAAUUGACUGUAAAGUUUCUGGCAUCAGUUUUGGUGAUGCUUAUAUACACUGGUAUCGACAGAGACCUGGAGAAGCUCCGGAGUGGAUACUCUACUUUAAGUCACAAGCUGAUAAAUCAAAUUUUGACAACAACAAGUUUAGCGUUGACAAGGCAACUGAAAAAUCCACCUGUACCCUAACAGUAGACAAACUAACCUACAAUGACAUGGCUACCUAUUACUGUGCCUACUGGGAUUGCACAGUGUUAGAAAGCCAUAGACAGGCUGUGCAAUAA
Non-coding RNA from Chelonia mydas (Green sea turtle), 680 nucleotides. The record is from the annotation of a RefSeq genome assembly. NCBI's taxonomy places the organism in Eukaryota, Metazoa, Chordata, Testudines, Cheloniidae.